AGAGAAGCUCCGGCUCUCCAACCCACUGUGAACAUACCUACGUUCCCUCGGCGGACUCAGCGCGCGGUGCCUCCGGGCGCCGGGCGUCCGCCGGGGGCCCCCAAACUCUUAUUUACUACGUGUAUCUCUGAGGGGCGAAAGCCUGAAAAAAUGAAUCAAAACUUUCAACAACGGAUCUCUUGGCUCU
RNAcentral lists this unclassified non-coding RNA (187 nucleotides) under rhizosphere metagenome. RNAcentral describes it as "partial ribosomal RNA internal transcribed spacer region". The record is from RNAcentral.